This 467-nucleotide ribosomal RNA is filed under the name uncultured bacterium. Its description in RNAcentral is "partial 16S ribosomal RNA". It matches the Rfam family "Bacterial small subunit ribosomal RNA", at positions 28 to 507 of the family's 1533-position model. The record is from RNAcentral.
GAUGAACGCUGGCGGCGUGCUUAACACAUGCAAGUCGAACGGAAAGGCCUCUGCUUGCAGGGGUACUCGAGUGGCGAACGGGUGAGUAACACGUGGGUGAUCUGCCAUGAACUUCGGGAUAAGCCUGGGAAACUGGGUCUAAUACCGGAUAGGACAAUGGUUUGGAUGCUGUUGUGGAAAGUUUUUCGGUGUGGGAUGGGCUCGCGGCCUAUCAGCUUGUUGGUGGGGUAAUGGCCUACCAAGGCGUGGACGGGUAGCCGGCCUGAGAGGGUGUACGGCCACAUUGGGACUGGGAUGCGGCCCAGACCCGUACGGGAGGGAGGAGUGGGGAAUAUUGCUCAAUGGGCGCAAGCAUGAUGCAGCGGCGCCGCGUGGGGGAUGACGACCUUCGGGUUGUAAACUCCUUUCGCUAGGGACGAAGCGUUUUUGUGACGGUACCUGGAGAAUAAGCACCGGCUAACUCUGUG